RNAcentral lists this ribosomal RNA (216 nucleotides) under uncultured bacterium. RNAcentral's name for it is "partial 16S ribosomal RNA". It matches the Rfam family "Bacterial small subunit ribosomal RNA", at positions 1285 to 1500 of the family's 1533-position model. The record is from RNAcentral.
GUCCCAGCUCGGAUUGUAGUCUGCAACCCGACUACAUGAAGCUGGAAUCGCUAGUAAUCGCAGGUCAGCAUACUGCGGUGAAUACGUUCCCGGGUCUUGUACACACCGCCCGUCACACCAUGGGAGCCGGAAAUGCCCGAAGCCAGUGACCCAACCUUAGGGAGGGAGCUGUCGAAGGUGGAGCCGGUAACUGGGGUGAAGUCGUAACAAGGUACC